AUACGGAGGGUGCAAGCGUUGUUCGGAAUCACUGGGCGUAAAGCGCGCGCAGGCGGCUAUUUAAGUUGGAUGUGAAAGCCUACGGCUCAACCGUAGAACUGCAUCCAAAACUAUUUAGCUAGAGUGUGGGAGAGGAAGAUGGAAUUAGUUGUGUAGGGGUAAAAUCCGUAGAGAUAACUAGGAAUACCAAAAGCGAAGGCAAUCUUCUGGAACACUACUGACGCUGAGGCGCGAAAGCGUGGGGAGCAAACAGGAUUAGAAACCCUAGUAGUCC
This 274-nucleotide ribosomal RNA is filed under the name uncultured bacterium. RNAcentral's name for it is "partial 16S ribosomal RNA". It matches the Rfam family "Bacterial small subunit ribosomal RNA", at positions 523 to 796 of the family's 1533-position model. The record is from RNAcentral.